RNAcentral lists this ribosomal RNA (525 nucleotides) under uncultured marine eukaryote. RNAcentral's name for it is "SSU rRNA". It matches the Rfam family "Eukaryotic small subunit ribosomal RNA", at positions 609 to 1149 of the family's 1831-position model. The record is from RNAcentral.
GUUGUUGCAGUUAAAAAGCUCGUAGUUGGAUUUCUGUGAGAGUAUGAUGUCCUAACGUGUUUAGAGCGCAGAAAACUCUUGCAUCCUUCUGUUACCUCCACGUGGCAUUCACUUGCCAGUGGUUGGCUCAGAGAAUUUACCUUGAGAAAAUUAGAGUGUUUCAGGCAGGCUAGGCCGGAAUACAUUAGCAUGGAAUAAUAGAAUAGGACUCCGGUCUCGUUGUUGGUUUGAGGGACUAUAGUAAUGAUUAAUAGGGAUAGUUGGGGGCAUUAGUAUUCGAUUGUCAGAGGUGAAAUUCCCAGAUUUAUUGAAGACUAACUUAUGCGAAAGCAUUUGCCAAGGAUGUUUUCAUUAAUCAAGAACGAAAGUUAGGGGAUCAAAGACGAUCAGAUACCGUCCUAGUCUUAACCAUAAACUAUGCCGACUCGGGAUCGGGGGCGUGUCAUUAUCCGCCUUCGGCACCGUAUGAAAAAUCAAAGUCUUUGGGUUCUGGGGGGAGUAUGGUCGCAAGGCUGAAACUUAAAG